GAAAUGCGAUAACUAGUGUGAAUUGCAGAAUUCCGUGAAUCAUCGAGUCUUUGAACGCACAUUGCGCCCCCUGGUAUUCCGGGGGGCAUGCCUGUCCGAGUGUCAUUGCUGCCCAUCAAGCACGGCUUGUGUGUUGGGUCGUCGUCCCCUCUCCGGGGGGGACGGGCCCCAAAGGCAGCGGCGGCACCGCGUCCGAUCCUCGAGCGUAUGGGGCUUUGUCACCCGCUCUGUAGGCCCGGCCGGCGCUUGCCGAACGCAAAUCAAUCUUUUUCCAGGUUGACCUCGGAUCAGGUAGGGAUACCCGCUGAACUUAAGC
RNAcentral lists this unclassified non-coding RNA (316 nucleotides) under plant metagenome. Its description in RNAcentral is "partial contains 5.8S ribosomal RNA, internal transcribed spacer 2, and large subunit ribosomal RNA". The stretch from base 1 to 105 matches the Rfam family "5.8S ribosomal RNA", at positions 50 to 154 of the family's 154-position model. The record is from RNAcentral.